UACGAGGGGGGCGAGCGUUGUUCGGAAUUAUUGGGCGUAAAGGGUGCGUAGGCGGUUCCGCAAGUCCUGUGUGAAAUCUUCGGGCUCAACUCGAAGUCUGCACGGGAAACUGCGGGGCUUGAGUGUGGGAGAGGUGAGUGGAAUUCCCGGUGUAGCGGUGAAAAUGCGUAGAUAUCGGGAGGAACACCUGUGGCGAAAGCGGCUCACUGGACCAUAACUGACGCUGAUGCACGAAAGCCGGGGGGAGCAAACAGG
RNAcentral lists this ribosomal RNA (255 nucleotides) under uncultured bacterium. RNAcentral's name for it is "partial 16S ribosomal RNA". It matches the Rfam family "Bacterial small subunit ribosomal RNA", at positions 524 to 776 of the family's 1533-position model. The record is from RNAcentral.